RNAcentral lists this transfer RNA (71 nucleotides) under Bos taurus (domestic cattle). It matches the Rfam family "tRNA". Rfam says of the family: Transfer RNA (tRNA) molecules are approximately 80 nucleotides in length. Their secondary structure includes four short double-helical elements and three loops (D, anti-codon, and T loops). Further hydrogen bonds mediate the characteristic L-shaped molecular structure. tRNAs have two regions of fundamental functional importance: the anti-codon, which is responsible for specific mRNA codon recognition, and the 3' end, to which the tRNAs corresponding amino acid is attached (by aminoacyl-tRNA synthetases). tRNAs cope with the degeneracy of the genetic code in two manners: having more than one tRNA (with a specific anti-codon) for a particular amino acid; and 'wobble' base-pairing, i.e. permitting non-standard base-pairing at the 3rd anti-codon position. Lineage: Eukaryota; Metazoa; Chordata; Mammalia; Artiodactyla; Bovidae. The record is from Rfam by way of RNAcentral. RNAcentral also lists the same sequence under 5 other names.
UCCCUCGUGGUCCAGUGGUUAGGACUCUGCACUUCCACUGCAGGGGGCAUGGAUUCGAUCCCUGGUUGGAG